CCGGAACGGACGACGAGCUCGCGCCGUUCAGCGGCAGCGACGAGGAGGGCGGCGACGAGGCCGAGACGAUGACGCUCUUCUCGUCCGACUCCACGUCCGAGCUCUACCACCCCAACGGCGGCGGCAGAACCAGCAGCAGGAGGAGGAGUCAUCAUCACAGGAGCAGGAGGAGGAGGAGUCAUCAUCAAAGGAGGAGUCAUCAUCACAGGAGGAGUCACAGGAACAUAAGUCGCCGCGCGCCACGGCGUGCGCUGCCGAGAACCGGCGACCCGGCGCCGGCACCAUCCGACGCUCAUUUCCUGCCUCUGGUGUCCGUGGACACGGAGAAGCACAGGGAACGCGACAGCGUCAAGAAGCUGAUGACGACGGGCGCGGCGUCGGCGGGCAUGGCGGUGGUGAAGCGCUCGAGCAACCCCUACCUGGACUUCCGCAGCUCGAUGAUGGAGAUGGUGCUGGGGCGGCGCAUCGGCAGCGUGGGGAACAUGGAGGAGCUCCUGGGGUCGUACCUCUCGCUCAACUCGCCGCGCCACCACCCGGCCAUCCUUGCCGCCUUCGAGGACGUCUGGGAGGCCGUCUUCCGCGAGGACGAGGAGUGACUGUGAGCAACGACAGCGACUCAAAUCGUGAUGAUCAUUCAGAGUAUGGUUUGGACAGCUACGUAUAUGCCAAUGCCUCAAUUGUCAUGCAUGAUUUUAUUUGCCACUGAGAUACUGACUGUGGUACUAAUGUAUGUAACGGG
This 739-nucleotide unclassified non-coding RNA is filed under the name Zea mays. RNAcentral describes it as "misc RNA Zm00001eb358710". Lineage: Eukaryota; Viridiplantae; Streptophyta; Magnoliopsida; Poales; Poaceae. The record is from RNAcentral.